This is a long non-coding RNA of Pipistrellus kuhlii (Kuhl's pipistrelle), 872 nucleotides long. RefSeq lists it as uncharacterized. Lineage: Eukaryota; Metazoa; Chordata; Mammalia; Chiroptera; Vespertilionidae. The transcript is spliced from 3 exons. The record is from RefSeq and is a predicted model, not a curated record.
GACCUUUCUGUCUUAAUCAUAUGCUUUGAACGGAUUUCAGAGACCAUGGAGGAAAGUAGUUGCUCCAGAGAAUGAGAGUGGAGGAGGGGGAGUUUUCACUCAGAGUCGUCAGAGAAGAUGUUUCCCUGGGACUUUUGAGGAAGCCUGGAGCUGAGUGAUUGAUUUGCAAAAUGAAAUGGAGAAGUCAAGAUAAGCUUACAUAACAGCUAUGGCAUCAUCUGACAAGUUCACCUGAAGGUCAUCUGUGUAAAGAAUGUCACUUUCCUUGACCUGGUGUUCACCGGAACCCUUGAUGACAUUUACAACUUUGUAAGCAUAGACAUGGAUUUGUAGGAAACCAGCAAGCUGCUCAGCAGAGAAGUGAGGAUGAGCCUCCAACCCACAAACUUUGCUCCUUACGACUAGUGAUUUCUGACUUUGUGGGUGGGGGUGGGGUGGGGAAAUCUGUGCUUGUUGAUGUAGCUGUGGUUAUACUCUAUCAAUCUCAUUACAGAUUUCUUUUCCUUUUCUUCCACUAACUCUAUUAUACAUUGGUCAGUAUGUUUCAGGAUAGUGAACCAGCAAGAUAAACUGGCUUUCCAGCUAGAUGAUUUUUUUAGUAAGUUCCGUAAAACCUUGAUUAUCUGCAUGAGAAUUAUGAUGUUUGUAAGAUUUUGUAAAUUAUGUGUAUGAGAACUAUCUGAUACCCUUUUUCUUGAAUUAUUAUAAUAGCUAUCAACAGGUUUCCUUCCUUCUAAUCAUCCAUGCCCUAACUCCAUAUCAAUCUGGUAUCCCACUGUUAUUUUAUUUAUUUAUUUAAAAAAAAUCCUCGCCUGAGGAUAUUUUUCCAUUGAUUUUUAGAGAGAGUAGAAGAGAGAGAGAGAGGGAAAGAC